Long non-coding RNA from Triticum aestivum (bread wheat), 1462 nucleotides. RefSeq lists it as uncharacterized. The transcript has 3 exons. The record is from RefSeq and is a predicted model, not a curated record. Lineage: Eukaryota; Viridiplantae; Streptophyta; Magnoliopsida; Poales; Poaceae.
CUGUUGCUCCCGUCCCGACGUUUUAACUGGCGCUCUAGGGUUAGCGUCGUGACGUCGUCGCCAGCCCCAGCCCCAGCCCCAACCCGAUCUCCAGCUCCUCGGCCGCCGCUCGAUCUCCUCGGCAGCACCUCGCCACCUCCCCACCAACGCCUUGUCUACCUUCCGCACCCGUCAGCGCACUGCCGUCCGCCUCCCUCGCACCGGCCUCUCCAAUCUCGCGUCUGCGCUCGCCAUGUCCUCGCUGGCGUCCUGACCGGAGGCCACGUGGACCACACCUCCGCCACCAGCGGCUAAGGAGCGUUCCCCUUGCUGCACCGCGUCGUGGCCCAGUCCUCUUCUUGGCCACGCAACAUGAGCAGGAUGGUAUACACUGGCUUCCCGGACAUGCGCCGUCGAGGCUCUGGAUGUGGUCGACGCCGACGAGGACUCGAACAAUUCGUAGAGCCGUGCCGGGUUUGUGGAGGUGAUUGUACGAGUAUUUACCUAGGCGCUUGCAGAUGCCUUGGCAUAUGUCCAAGUACAGGAAUUGAUGGAGUGGUUGCUUAGCACAUACUCCCUCCGUUCCAAAUUACUCGUCGCGAAAAUGAAUGUAUCUAGAACUAAAAUACAUCUAGAUACAUCCAUACUUGCGACAAGUAAUCUGGAACGGAGGGAGUAUCUGGUUAGACUUAGACCAAAUAAUUCAGGUCGAUUGAAAUAUUUUUCUGUAACGAUUUACUCACAUAUGUAAUGCAGAGCAACCUGGUACCCGCACGGGGUCUGACUUGAAUAUUUUCAGGAGAUGACUAGACGUACGUUUGACUUUUAGAUAAUACAUCUGUGAAUUUUGCGGGAUCCUGUAGAGCAGAUGGGCGCCGUUGACGCAUAGUGCAUGGCAGAUCACGCGGUUAAGAUGCUCUUGGGCCUGCUAAGUAACAUAAGACAACUUUCCUAUGAAGAUCGGUUGUUCGGUUUCACUCAGCCGGGUAAUGGAGAAAAGAGAUUUACACAGGACGUGGAAUAUAUUACAAGAUCCAUGGUAAAACUGAGACAGCAUCAAGGCUCUUUGAAGUCAUAAUAUCCAGCCUCACCUUCAAACCUCGACGCUCUACCAUGACUAUGCAUUAUAUUUCAAGAUCCAUGAUAAACUGAAAGAGCAUAAAGGGUCUUACAGGUCAUGGUGGACAGGUUUUGCUGGCAUUGUGGUCCAUUCAUACCAAUUCUUUGAAGCGGUGCCACAGUGCAGUGCUGUAAAAAAAGGUGCGUCGUUUAUCGACCGUGGGCAAUGGAGUGAUGUAAAUGUAAUGUAGAGUACAUAUCUAAGGUACAUAAUGACCUCUUUGUAGUUCUUUGUUGUGCUAUAUGCCUAUCUCAGAUUUUAUGCUAGGUCUAUUUUAGCACGACAUUGGUGUUAGCAGUAAAACCACUUGCAAAUGUAUGUAUAUUGAGUAUAUAAAUUUGUGCUCUAGAAGUGAAAUUUUGA